This 69-nucleotide ribosomal RNA is filed under the name Salinisphaera sp. RNAcentral's name for it is "partial 16S ribosomal RNA". It matches the Rfam family "Bacterial small subunit ribosomal RNA", at positions 1 to 69 of the family's 1533-position model. Lineage: Bacteria; Pseudomonadati; Pseudomonadota; Gammaproteobacteria; Salinisphaerales; Salinisphaeraceae. The record is from RNAcentral.
AAACUGGAGAGUUUGAUCCUGGCUCAGAUUGAACGCUGGCGGCAGGCUUAACACAUGCAAGUCGAGCGG